Long non-coding RNA from Caretta caretta (loggerhead turtle), 3121 nucleotides. RefSeq lists it as uncharacterized. NCBI's taxonomy places the organism in Eukaryota, Metazoa, Chordata, Testudines, Cheloniidae. The record is from RefSeq and is a predicted model, not a curated record.
CAGGUGAGAGCUGCAUAGGAGCCGGACCUGCCGCUGGCUGCUUCCGGGUCACAGCACGAUCUGAGGUGCCAGGACAGGCAGGAAGCCUGCCUCUGCACCCCUGCUGCACUGCAGACUGAGAGCCGCCCGAGGAAAAGAGAUGCUGUAUUGGGCAAUCUAUGCACCAUCAAUAGAAGAGGAGAGAGACAGAACAAAGAAUAAAUAAAGGACAAAGUACCAACAAGAUGAAGCACGUGGAUUUAGAGGAAGAGAAUGGUUGAGAGAGAUGGAAGGAGAAUAAUUGAUCUGACCAAUGAACUGGGAUAAAACCAAAAAGUGACAAAGAAGAUAAAUGUCUUGCUCACACAGAGCCCAGCUGGAGUCAACAGGGAGCUACGCAAGUGCAACAAUUUACCCAUGUGCUGUCAAUUGCAGAACUGAGGCCCACAAUACCUCCCACCACCAAUCACAUGCGGAGUAUUCUGAUCCUCCUGUAACCAGCAAUCGCCAUACUUUCUACAACAACAAAAUGCUCAGGAGAGCUUUGCAAAGAAUUCAGACCAAAAAUUCAUUACAAUUUCAACUCAAAGAAAUAAAAACAGACUUCCCUGAACCAACCUGACAUGCAUUUUAGUAAGUGGAUUUAGUAGAACGUCAACAUUUAAACUGCAUUUAAUGAAUAUUUGAAUUCGGACUUGUGAUUUCAGUUUACAAAUUUUCAGUUGUACAAGCUUGGCUGAAUGAAAUCAAUGCAUCAAAUGUUUGCUUUUAGGGUGUUUAUUUUUUCACAGAGUUCACUUUGCAUUGCUGUCUGAAUCUUAUUUAGCAGUGCAACAAAUUCUUGUAUAUAUUACAACAUUUUGGGGAACACAUGAGCUCUGUUUUCAUAGUUAUUGUAUAUCUACAAUAUGUGAUUUGAAGCAAUAUCUCUGGAAAGUCUUAAUUCCUCUAGCUAUUCUAGCACCGAGUAUAAAAAAAUAAUGUUCUGAGGGCUCAAAAAUUAAAAAAUAUAUACCUAAGCAAACACAUAUACAAGAAGUUUUAUUCCCAGCUGUGAAGUGCAUUACGAAGCACAUGGCUGAGGGUCAAGUAUCUGCUGCAGUUAAGUAUUUUCUCUCAACAAUUCCACACACUGUAGAGUUUCUUUUAUAUGUAGGAGUAAAUAAACCAUUCCCAGAAGUUUUAAUUUAAUCCUUAUUACUUUUAUUAUUAAAAUCAAUAUUUCUGUGGUCACAGUAGAAAGAUGAGGUACGUGCAAUUUGUCAAGAAUCUGCCGACAUGUGCUGCAGCCAGACCAACAUCAACACAUGCCCAGUAGGAAGUAGUCUUGCAGGUUAUUGCACUGUUGAGCUAAGACUCACACAAACUCUGCUAGUCUCCUUCACUCCAUAUCUAAUCCUUGGUCCUGUCCUGACACACAGGCCAGCCGACCAAUCACCACUCGGUCCAAAGGCCUAAAUAUAGGUAUGCACAGUAUCCCCACAACACUCCACACUGCCAAUCUCAUAUUGAGUAUUCUGGUACUCCUGUAUCCAACUAUCAGCCUCUAACGGUCAGCUCUUUUAUAAUUCAGGGGAGCAAUAACUGACAUCCUCCGAAGCACACUAGGUUUGAGAGGAUGCUGAGUGGUGUUUAACUGCCUCCUUGACAAGGACUAACUUGCCAGACCAUGCAGAGGUUGUGAUGAUAUAAUCUCAGAAAGGAUAAAAGACAAGAAUUCAUGAGCAGAACACAAUUACAAAAACAACAAACAUGACUGAGCAUACACAGAACACAACCACAGAACCCAGAGCACCAUACAUGGAAAAGCUGACAACCAAGCAGCAUGGGCAAGAGGCAGGACCAUAGCCCCAAACCGGACCUUAUGGAAAUCAGGAAGCCUUUCUAUCUGCUCAAUAUAGUAGACUUCCAAUCAAGGGGCAUUAACCAGUGACGUCACCACCAUGGCCAAGCUCAUCAGACAGAUUUCCCCAUCAAAACCUGAAAAGAAAGCCAUUGGUCUGCAUGCUAAUCCUCCUGGUGAGGACUAAUCAAGGCAGUACAGCCAAUGAAUGCAGUACCAAAUCACCCACUGUCUCAAGUCAGGGAGGUAGGGGAGAGGGACAAUAAAGGAGUUUUCUCUCCCGCUCUCCAUCCUCCCAUUGGCCCAGACAAGCAAUGCCUGGCUUCAUGGGCUGAGCUGAAUUACCCCAGGAAAAGUGAUGUUUUCCAUUCACUGAAGCAAUUCUAAGGUAAAUAUGCAAAAAAUAAAAGUGAUCAGAGUUACUUGUUAUAGAAAGUAAUUGUUGUUUCCAUUCAUGCGACAGCCAUUGGAACUUCAUAUACUUUUCUUUCCACCUCUGCAUCAGAAGCCACAGGUGCUCUGCUGUGGAGGCAAUACAGAGGCACUCUUAAUUUCUCCUGUUACCACGGAGCUUGUCAGAUAACAGCUUCAGGAAGUAGUGUAGUAGUGAGUUUAGUUUAUUUAAAAAAAAAAAAAAAAGGCUGGCUCCAUUUCUCUGUCCAGUCACAGCCAUUACUUCUUAGAACUCCAGCCUGGCAUCAAUGAUACACAGGCAACGGUUUCAUGACUGGGUGAUUUGUGAGGUUUACUUAAGCUCUGCUUCCUUGAAAAUGUGUGGCAUCAUACCAGAGUUUAUUUAGACCUAAUUCUCUUGGUCAUAACAUGUAAGUUUAUUGUUUAUGAUUUACUUGGAUAGCCUUCUUGGGUAAAGGUAAAAGCAAGUGGGUGACAAUUUACAACAUAUUCCAAGGCAGGUAAUAAGACGCAUGUGGUUGGACAGUUGCAAAUACAAAAUCCCCUAGUUUAGUAGUUCAUGGACACCAAUGGUUUCUGGAGCAUGUUGCUGGUAGUGCAUUGAGAGAUGGAUGGUAACAUGGUGCUGGCUCUCCUCGUUUCCAGCUGAUACAUCAUAUGUAAUGUAUUUUAGCUUUACUUAAUAUUUUCCUGUUAUUACUAAAUGUAGGCAAUUACUGUGCUUGCUACAAGGAGGUUAUUCAGUUGCCAACGGCAGGGGAAGUGGUCCUUAUAGCUGUGAAUGGGAAAAGAGACUCUACAAGACAACCUCCUUAUUAUGAUGUAAUUCAUACCUAAAAAAGUUUGAGAACCUUGUUUUAGCACUUUUAUUUAUUCCCCCUUCAA